ACACGUAGGGGGCGAGCGUUGUUCGGAAUCAUUGGGCGUAAAGGGCGCGCAGGCGGCGAGGCAAGUCCGGUGUGAAAGUGCUCGGCUCAACCGAGUGAUGCGCUGGAAACUGCCCUGCUUGAGUACAGGAGGGGACGUCGGAAUUCCAGGUGUAGGGGUGAAAUCUGUAGAUAUCUGGAAGAACACCAAUGGCGAAGGCAGGCAUCUGGCCAUGUACUGACGCUGAGACGCGAAGGUGCGGGGAGCAAACAGGUUUAGAUACCCUGGUAGUCCGCACAGUAAACGAUGUGCACCAGGUGGCGGGGGGUCGACCCCCGGUACCGUAGCUAACGCAUUAAGUGCACCGCCUGGGGAGUAUGCUCGCAAGGGUGAAACUCAAAUGAAUUGGCGGGG
Molecule: ribosomal RNA, 393 nt
Filed under: uncultured bacterium
Lineage: Bacteria
Description: partial 16S ribosomal RNA
Rfam family: Bacterial small subunit ribosomal RNA
Source: RNAcentral